CAGCAGCCGCGGUAAUACCGGCGGCCCGAGUGGUGGCCGCUAUUAUUGGGCCUAAAGCGUCCGUAGCCGGGCUGGUAAGUCCUCCGGGAAAUCUGGUCGCUUAACGAUCAGACUUCCGGAGGAUACUGCUGGCCUAGGGACCGGGAGAGGCCGAGGGUAUUCCCGGGGUAGGGGUGAAAUCCUGUAAUCCCGGGAGGACCACCUGUGGCGAAGGCGCUCGGCUGGAACGGGUCCGACGGUGAGGGACGAAGGCCAGGGGAGCGAACCGGAUUAGAUACCCGGGUAGUCCUGGCUGUAAACGAUGCGGACUAGGUGUCGGGCAAGCUAAGGGCUUGUCCGGUGCCGCAGGGAAGCCGUUAAGUCCGCCGCCUGGGGAGUACGGCCGCAAGGCUGAAACUUAAAGGAAUUGGCGGG
Molecule: ribosomal RNA, 414 nt
Filed under: uncultured microorganism
Description: bacterial SSU rRNA
Rfam family: Archaeal small subunit ribosomal RNA
Source: RNAcentral